GUCCUUUUGAAUGUCUAACUGUUGAUUUUUAUUAUACAUUUGUAGAAUCAAUAUUUUAUUUUUACUGACAUGCAUCCCGACUGAGAUACUAAUUAUAGAAAAAGAAACUUAAGCAAUUACUUGAAUUUAGUAUGUAGUUCCUGUGUUUCAUCUAUCAUCUAAGGAUUUCAACGGUUUAGUUCAGUAAAAAUUGAGACUCCAGUAGUUAAGAAACCACUUUAAAUGAAAGUAGAUGGCUGAGGGGCACACGUACAUGUACAUGUGUUUACAAAUAUCCUUGACAAUUGCGAGGCGAAAUUAAUGUGUUGCUAAGAAAAAAGCAGUUCAUUCUUCAAAACAUUUCCAUGUAUUUGGUUAUCUCACAUGCAGAAUGUCCAGUCUUGUAUAUACCAUUGCUUUAUAGCUCAUAUUGUGAGAACAGAGAAAAGUCGGGCAGAAGAGGGGCACCUUAUAAUACCCCAUAAAGAUGCAGAAGAAAGUUUGUGUGACUGUAUGCUACACCGGUAUUGAGUUUAUUUCAUGAUUUUUAGACCUCUAAUAAACGUAAACUUUUCAUUAUAAUACAACAUAAAGCACACUACAGAUUAUUUACAUUUAAAAUUGUAAACAAAGGGCGGCCAUUUUGAACUUAGAGUCGCAGGGACGCUAUUUAAAAAAAAUCCUAUGAUAUAGAAAAACGAUGCAGAAAUUUAACACAUGCAUGAUUUUUUAAAUUCAGACGUUUGUGAAACAAUUUACACACAAAAUAAAUUAUAUAUCUAUAAAAGUAUGUUUUCCCAUAAAUCCUCUCCUGAUCGCUGAUUGGUUGUAAUUUUCGGCGGGCAAAAUUGAUUGUUGUUUGUGAGAGAAAACCUAGCGUGACUCAAAUGGAACCAUGUCAUGUUUUGAUUGAAUGGAAGAUCCAAAGAUUUUUCUGAGAAUUGGAGACGUCUACUGUUGUUGGGCAUCAUUCAGGUAUGUCUUUUAGAGGGUAUUGAGUAAAAAUUUCUGGAACUUUUUAAAACAAUCUUCCAUUAUGCAUCCUCACUGAAUAUUUUAGUAUGAGUCUGUCCAUAGCCAAUACUGGCAAUUGCCGUCUCAUUUAAACGAUUUUUGACGGGAUAUCAUGUUAUCUCUGACUAUACAAAUUUCAUUUUCUCAUAAAAGAGCAAUGAUAUUUAAUAUUCAUUUCAUAAUCACAACAGACCACAUCAAAACAUGCUUGAUAUUCACCUUUUAGAAUUUUGAAUACAAAAAAAAAAUAUUAAAAAAUAUCCUGUCCCGAUUCGGAAACAGGACGUUAUCUAACCUAUUCUUUCUCUCUAUAUAUCAUUGUAGGUAUUUCCGGUGUUGACUUGAAACGUUUUUAUUCACGAUGUUGCGGAUUCAUCAUUGCAUUUGCAUGGGGUAGUGCAUAUGUUGUGUGUGGCCUUCUAAACGAUAAAUCUAUGGAUUAAAGGAUGAACAGGUCGAUGCAGGAAUAUUCAUUCUAAUGAUAAGGAAAUACGAAAUGCAAGGACAACCUCCAAGCAUGCAGUAUGCCUUAGAUCUAUACAAUGGUGGAAUGUUCCAAACUAGAUGAGCAGAAGAUGCAUUCCAUGACUGACUCCCCAUAUGAUAUGAAAGAGAGCCCAUGAGAAUGGAACCAACUUUCAGUGUUACAAUGGAUGAACACUCCUCCUGUCACAAGUCCAUCUUGAUUCAGUAAAGUGGUAGUCUAUUUAUCUAGGAAGCAACCAGACGGAUCUGGACAAGGACCAUAUUGACUCAAGUUUUGGUGUCAGAAGACCAUUUUGAUUAAACAUGUUAAAAGCACCACAGAAGUAAGAAGCUAGGAUACCAGUUUUAUAAACUAAAGAGUCGAAAGGCCCAGCUGGAGUUUACUCAGGAGACCUAACAAGUGUAUACAGCUGGUUUGUAAUGGGAAACAGUUUUUUGUAAACAACAGAAAUGUUCUGUGUAUUUGGUGACGGAAUUCAUUUUUUCUUCACUUUUUGACUGUUGUGUAAUAAUAAUAAUGUCCUUUAUUUAUACAGGAGAACACAAUUAGGUUUAGAACUAGCUUAUAUUGUGGUCCUCAAAGCAUAUAUUCAGACAGCAGUAUUAUGCUAAUACAAUAUAAAUUAGACAGUGAUAAGUCUAUUUCAAAUAUAAAAGUUUGAGAUAUUAAUCUUCAGUUAGUAAGAAUGUUGGACACACAAUAUCUAGUUAUGGGUGUAUGCAUGGGAAUUUCUGACAGUUCGUAUUCCAUCUCUGACAGUGUGUAUUGACACACAACCCUGGUUAACUUCCUGAAUAAUUGAGUUCUAAUUAGACAUAGAUUUACUAAUAAUAACAGUGUAUACCUCCUUUUCCCGCCUAUGCCGAAAAUGUUGAAAUCUUAUCAGAUUUGGAAAAUCUUAUAUAUUCUUGUAUCCUGCUACCUAUCUAGUGAAUAUUGAAAUAAUCCCCCAUCCCCUUUAAUGGCAUUUUAUGUUGGCAGAAAACAAAACAUUUAAAUAAGUUAACAUUAAUAACAAUGAAACAAAUAUCUAUAUAAAGUUAAAAAUAAUUGAAAAAAUGACAACACAAUUAUUCUAGAUAUUUGAGUAAAUCCUCGAUAUUACUUUCUAUUAACUUACAAUCCCCAAUAUUACUUUCUAUUAACUUACAAUCCUCGAUAUUACUUCCCAUUAACUUACAAUCCCCAAUAUUACUUUCUAUUAACUUACAAUCCCCGAUAUUACUUUCUAUUAACUUACAAUCCUCGAUAUUACUUCCUAUUAACUUACAAAUCCUCGAUAUUACUUUCUAUUAACUUACAAUCCUCGAUAUUACUUCCUAUUAACUUACAAUCCCCUUGGGAUCUGUAACCAUGCCGUCUUUUCCAUCGUGUAGCACCAUACACUGAGCCCAGCAAUAUAGCAGUUCUCAGUUGGCUUUUUGAGGAUAUCCUACUACCAGAGAAUUUGGAGGAUGACCGAGAACGACCAGAAAAGCGGAACCAUCUUCCUCCACCUCUGCCCCUUCUGGCAUCAAUCAAUGCUAUCACUGGUGAAAAAAAAUCAAUGACAAAAAGGUAUUAUUGAGAUGUGAAAGUUAAUGGAGAGAGAAAAAAAAACAAAUAAAAGGACAUACAGACUGAUAGUAAUCAGAUGUAAAGCUAAUGCAACGUGUAGCGGUCACCCUGCCAAGUACUGAUCACGCUCGCUGUUGCUUAACUAAAUGCAUGAUCAAGAGAGAGACUCUACCACAUCACUAGAAAAGUUAGCUCUCUAGCGAGGCAGUAUAAGUUCCCUCUUAUACUGUCCGCUACACUAAUCUUAUAGGAAACUGAUCAAUGAAAACCAAAUAUCUGAAGCAUAGAUGACUAUAUAAUAUUGCAUAUAAGGUAACUGUAGUCAGUGGUUUGAAAAUGAUGAGUUAUUAUGCAUUAAAAUGCAUAUAAUCAUUUUUGAUUAUUAUUUUAUGAACGAAAAAUGUAUAGUUAAUCAGAACAAAUCUUAAAAUAUCAUAAUUUUCAAAAUAUAUUUUAGUGUCGAUAGAACUAUUGCCCAUCAGGAUAUUACACUUAUCCAGGUUGGGAACACUUCCCCUAUAGCGAGAUGUUCCCGCUAAAACGCGAUUAUCCCGAGAAAUAAACAUUACCAUAAACAGGUGUUUUGGCGUCUUUAUUGAAUAUAAUGGCAAAUUCAGUGCAACGCUAAAUAAGUUCGACACAUACUCAACAUGACACGAAUUGUUUCUAUGAAAUUGACAACAUAGUCAAGAAAUUGCAUAUCAAAGUUGCUGUGUAAGAAGGAAGCAGUCUGAAAUCCAACUGAAAACUAGCUUGAUAAAUAAUAUACCGUAUAACAUGGUUGAUCUUAAAAUGUUAUACAUUUUCCCCAGACCACAUUCCUACCAGUAAAAUGUUUUGUAAUGUCACGGGUUCACAACAAGAACAUGAGAAAUUCUGAAAAUAGAUGCGAUUAUAAGUAUUAUUUACCGAGAAGAGAGUGCGAUGAUAUGGGAGGGCAAUGGUCCUGGAUCUACGUAGUCCAGCUGGGAAAACAGAUAGCAAGAGACUGAACGCAACCAUGGAUUGGUGUCUUGAAAUGUUGUUAUGGAAUUAUACAGGUAUAGCAUUUUUUCUUAUUCAUAUCUUGAUGAACUCUGAAUGUCUGAUAUUUGGAAUCUUGAGAGGGACGUUAAAUACAAUCAUUCAAUCAAUCUAAUAUUUGGGAAAAUAAAGAGGGGAAAAAUAAUGCUGCCUACAUGUACUUUAUCAGGGAGACCCGGGUUUGAUACUCGUACCCGGCGCCGCGUCCAACCCACAGGCAUCGCUUGGGGUCGAAUUUACUAUUAAAGAGUAAUAGUAAAAUUCGACCCCAAGCGACGCAAUUGCCAGUGGUCCAACCUAAACUAUUCUUUACCCUGAGAAAAAUUUGUUUUUUGAGUAGUUAGCCAUCCGGGCCUCUGUAUCUGGACUAGUUACUAAACCAAAGAGAAAUUCACUGACCUAAAUCAUACACAAAUAAUUACUUUCUUCAGUUUUGAGAAGAACUUUGAAGAAAGAGAGAGAGAGAGAUAGUUAGUUCAAAAGUACAUUAAACCAGUUACAUGAAUACUGUAGAUUUAAUCUGUAAUAGAACCAGUGCCUUCAUUGAAUCUGAUGACAAUCAUAUAAAACUGUGGAAUGCCCUUCCAGAACAUGUAAGGGACUGUAGAACACUGUGUGCAUUCAAGAAGUCACUGAAAACACAUUUUUUCCAUCAAGUUUUCCAGGACACGUUUCUAACAUUUCAGUCAUUCGUGUAGGUUAGAUUCUGUGAAAAACUGUGAAAACUAAAGACUGUGUGUCUUAGCUUUCGAGUACCAUUUUGUGAUGUUUUAUAAAAAAAGAAAAAGAAAAGGGAAUUGUAUGUUUUAAUGUAUUAUACCUGAGACAUUAUAUGCUGUGCGUGCGUGUGUGUAUUUCAUUAUUAUUAUUAUUUUAAUACGCCCUGAAACUGAUGUUUAUUCAUAUCUAGCAUAUUUAUGGUAUCUUGUGUUUUCAUGUUUUUAUGUAAAAUGAGGAUAGGUACAGCUUUUAAUGUUUUAUUUAUUUUCUAUGUAUUAUGUGUAUAACAUUCUCUUGUAAGGUAUAUAUGCAUUGUAAAGCACCUUUGAGCGUACAUAGUGUAUGAAAAGGGUGCUAUAUAAAUAUGGUAUUAUUAUUAUUAUUAUAUACUCCAUUUUAGUAGAUGGUAAUGUAAAACUUAUUUGGUACCAAUUUUGAUGCACCAGAUGCGCAUUUCGACAAAUAAUGUCUCUUCAGUGAUGCUCAACUGAAAUCUUUGAAAUCCGAAAUAACUAUGAAGUUUUAAAGCUAAAUAUAGCCAAAAACAGCGUGCCAAAAAAGUGGAGCCAAAUUCGUCCAAGGAUAAGAGCUAUGCAUGAGGGAGAUAAUCCUUAAUUUUGAAAUGAAUUUCUAAAUUUUGUAACAGCAAUUAAAUAUACAUCCGUAUUUUCAAGCUAGUAACGAAGUACUUAGCUACUGGGCUGUAGAGACCCUCGGGGACUAACAGUCCACCAGCAGAGGCCUCGACCCAGGGGUCAUAAUGUAAAUCUUAUACGGUACCAAUUUUGAUGCACCAGAUGCGCAUUUCGACAAACAAUGUCUCUUCAGUGAUGCUCAACCGAAAUGUUUGAAAUCCGAAAUAACUAUGAAGUUUUAGAGCUAAAUAUAGCCAAAAACAGCGUGCCAAAAAAGUGGAGCCAAAUUCGUCCAAGGAUAAGAGCUAUGCAUGAGGGAGAUAAUCCUUAAUUUUGAAAUGAAUUUCUAAAUUUUGUAACAGCAAUUAAAAAUACAUCCCUAUAAUUAUAUAAUUAAUAUUCUAUACUAAUAUAACUGAUAGGCAGUAAUAUUGACAGAAAGCACGGAUCUGACGGUCUUGUAUAGGUAAUAUUUUUACAAGUCGAACCCCAAUUUCACUGGACUUGAUCUUCGGGCCAGGACAUAUUCAAGGAUGCAAGGUGAAGAUAACGAACAGUGAUCAAUCUCAUAACUCCUACAAGCAAUGCAAAAUAGAUAGUUGGGCAAACACGGACCCCUGGACACACCAGAGUUGGGAUCAGGUGCCUAGGAGGAGUAAGCAUCCCCUGUUGACCGGUCACACCCGCCGUGAGCCCCAUAUCCUGAUCAGGUAAACGGAGUUAUCCGCAGUCAAAAUCAGUGUGCCAAGAACGGCUUAACAAUCGGUAUGAAACACGUCAGACAGCAUUUGACCCAAUGCGAGAUUGUAUUGACGAACUAGAUCGUUAUAACGACCAUAGAAUUUGCGAAAUGCUGACUUCAAUCGAGACUGUUGAAAACCCUGUACCAUCAACUUGUUUGUCAGUAGCUUACCUCGAUUUAAAAACUGACUAUACCCUGAACAAGCUCUUGCAUAUCGAAUCAGUUGAGAUAUAUAAACACCAUAUGCAGGUGAUAAUGGAAUAUUGCUACAUAAAUGUGGGAAGUUGACGAUGGAGAAGCUGAAAUCAUCCCGUUUGUCAUACAGUUGAGUUGUUAGUUUGCCGUUAAUGUCUACUUUCAAUAAAAUAUCUAAGUAUGAAGCAGAAGUGGACGACUCUGUGGUGUCCUUUAUUUCGAGCUCACAGGGAUAUAUCAAAUCGACAUAUGAAUGAAAGCUAUCAUUGUUAAUAGACAAAACGUCAUCGAUAUAUCUAAAAGUCGAAUUGAAGGUCACAGCGAGAGAUUUUUUCUUCUCACGUAGAAGUUUUUGAAUAAAUUCUGCUUCAUAUGAAUAUAAAAACAGGCCAGCUAACAAAGCUGCACAAUUCGUGCCCAUGGGAAUUCCAACAGACUGUUGGAAGACCUGAUCACCAAAGACCACGAAGAUAUUGUCAAUGAGGAACUGUAGCAUAUUUUUUAUUUCAACUUCAGAGUACUUGUGCGUGGAAUCAGAGUGGUGUUUAACAAAGUUCGGGCACUGUUGGGAACCCAGAAUCCUAUCUAAGUACAUAUUGGACAAAUACUUACUGGCAACAGAGUGCACGUGUAACGGAUUGUCCGUGCUUUGAGAACACGACAUACUGGGAGGAUGACUGCGAGAGUUAUUGCAUUUCUCAGUUCGACGAACAGAGCUCAAUCAAAGAGGGGGACUUAGCGUUUUCGUCUUUUGAUGACCUUUUGAACGUGGGAAAAAAAGGUGUCACCAUGAUUCCUAGCAUAUAGAUGGGUGCAAAUACGAAACUAAGACACGUGGUCAGUUGCUGAAGAAAUUCCGGUGAAAACAUGCAGGGUCCAACAAAAGGUCUGUAGCUGUGAGGGAAGGUGGAUGGGCCCAUAUGAGAGACUGAAGGUGACCCUGCCAUGUCUAUAGGCCUAAAAUAUAACUACAGCACGCAGAGCCUCGAUGUGACCAUCAUGGAGUGUCGUGACCUUCCAGUAGUGGAUGGAAAGAAACAACACUCAAACCCGUAUGUGAAAUCCUACGUUGUCGUUGCUGAAAUCAAAUAUGGCAAAAGGAAAACGAGAGUCCUGCCUGCCACAACUAACCCGAGAUUCUAUGAGUUGUUUCGGUAUUAUAUAUCAAAAGCAGACAUGGGCGGUUCGGCGUUGUUGGUGACUGUAUGGCACUACAAUAAAUACGGAAGGAACUUCAGUAUCGGCGAAGUCACAAUCCCAUUGGCUGAUUCCCGCUGCGGCGAAUUGUGUUCGAAAUGGUAUAAGAUUGAACAAAAAGAUACGCACCAUACUUGUUUCAUGAUAUGACUGAUGCAUGAACCAAUUGUUUUGAAUUUGUACAUUUAUAAGAUUUUCUUUCAUUGUUACAAUUUUCAGUCAUAGCAUAUAUAAUUUAAAUGUAAAUAAUUAUGCUCUAAUUUUUAUAUUCAUUUGGAUAAAGAUAUAGAUAAUACGAUAUAAAAUAAAAUGAAACAAAAAAGUAUAUAAAAUACGCA
RNA transcript from Ostrea edulis (European flat oyster), 7887 nucleotides. It is a transcript of the gene named synaptotagmin-like protein 5, with no coding region annotated. The record is from RefSeq and is a predicted model, not a curated record. Lineage: Eukaryota; Metazoa; Mollusca; Bivalvia; Ostreida; Ostreidae. The transcript has 8 exons.